UACGAAGGGGGCGAGCGUUGUUCGGAAUUACUGGGCGUAAAGGGCGCGCAGGCGGCUCUGAAAGUCAGAUGUGAAAGCCCCGGGCUCAACCUGGGAAUUGCAUUUGAUACUGGGCAUCUUGAGUAUGGGAGAGGUGAGUGGAACUCCGAGUGUAGAGGUGAAAUUCGUAGAUAUUCGGAAGAACACCAGUGGCGAAGGCGACUCACUGGCCCAUUACUGACGCUGAGGCGCGAAAGCGUGGGGAGCAAACAGG
RNAcentral lists this ribosomal RNA (253 nucleotides) under uncultured bacterium. RNAcentral's name for it is "partial 16S ribosomal RNA". It matches the Rfam family "Bacterial small subunit ribosomal RNA", at positions 524 to 776 of the family's 1533-position model. The record is from RNAcentral.